RNAcentral lists this ribosomal RNA (512 nucleotides) under uncultured bacterium. Its description in RNAcentral is "bacterial SSU rRNA". It matches the Rfam family "Bacterial small subunit ribosomal RNA", at positions 298 to 807 of the family's 1533-position model. The record is from RNAcentral.
GGAAGGCCCCCCACACUGGGACUGAGACACGGCCCAGACUCCUACGGGAGGCAGCAGUGAGGAAUAUUGGUCAAUGGGCGGAAGCCUGAACCAGCCAAGUCGCGUGAGGGAUUAAGGCCCUGCGGGUCGUAAACCUCUUUUGCCGGGGAGCAGUGGUCCGGACGCGUCCGGGCCGGGAGAGUACCCGGAGAAAAAGCAUCGGCUAACUCCGUGCCAGCAGCCGCGGUAAUACGGAGGAUGCGAGCGUUAUCCGGAUUUAUUGGGUUUAAAGGGUGCGUAGGCGGGCAUUUAAGCCGGCGGUCAAAUGUCGGGGCUCAACCCCGGCCUGCCGUCGGAACUGGGUGCCUUGAGUGGGCGAGAAGUAUGCGGAAUGCGUGGUGUAGCGGUGAAAUGCAUAGAUAUCACGCAGAACCCCGAUUGCGAAGGCAGCAUACCGGCGCCCUACUGACGCUGAGGCACGAAAGUGCGGGUAUCGAACAGGAUUAGAUACCCUGGUAGUCCGCACAGUAAAC